UGAGGAAUCUUCCACAAUGGGCGAAAGCCUGAUGGAGCAACGCCGCGUGCAGGAUGAAGGCCCUCGGGUCGUAAACUGCUUUUAUAAGUGAAGAAUAUGACGGUAACUUAUGAAUAAGCACCGGCUAACUACGUGCCAGCAGCCGCGGUCAUACGUAGGGUGCAAGCAUUAUCCGGAGUGACUGGGCGUAAAGAGUUGCGUAGGUGGUUUGUUAAGUGAAUAGUGAAACCUGGUGGCUCAACCACACAGACUAUUAUUCAAACUGGCAAACUCGAGAGUAGCAGAGGUAACUGGAAUUUCUAGUGUAGGAGUGAAAUCCGUAGAUAUUAGAAGGAACACCAAUGGCGUAGGCAGGUUACUAGGCUAUUUCUGACACUGAGGCACGAAAGCGUGGGGAGCGAACC
RNAcentral lists this ribosomal RNA (404 nucleotides) under uncultured Candidatus Saccharibacteria bacterium. Its description in RNAcentral is "partial 16S ribosomal RNA". It matches the Rfam family "Bacterial small subunit ribosomal RNA", at positions 355 to 774 of the family's 1533-position model. The record is from RNAcentral. Lineage: Bacteria; Candidatus Saccharimonadota.